Nicotiana attenuata is the source of this 349-nucleotide long non-coding RNA. RefSeq lists it as uncharacterized. NCBI's taxonomy places the organism in Eukaryota, Viridiplantae, Streptophyta, Magnoliopsida, Solanales, Solanaceae. The transcript has 2 exons. The record is from RefSeq and is a predicted model, not a curated record.
UAUUUGAUUUGUUAAUAAAGUGAGCGUAUCUUCAAAUUAGUGGAGUGUUGAGUGUAAUUUACCAAAAAUUGAGCACUUAAAAAGCUAUAACAACUAUUGAUGCAAAGAAGGAAAAGUUCCCUUUCAAAAAUAAUUGCAAUUAUUUUAACCUAAUUUCACUUUUUGCAUCUACACUGUUCCUUUUUCAACAAAUCAAGAAUUCGCACAAAUUUCUUCGGUUUCUCAAAUUUGUGUUCUCAUUUUUUCAUCUCUUUUUCUGUCCUCUAGCGCUAUACUAUCCGGAUUAUUUACACGCAAGUUUUUGAUUGAACAGUGUUGCAAGCAGCAGUAUAUAAAAAGUAUGGGGAUU